GACGAACCGUGCGAACGUUGUUCGGAAUCACUGGGCUUAAAGGGCGCGUAGGCGGGCUCACAAGUCAGGGGUGAAAUCCCACGGCUCAACCGUGGAAGUGCCUUUGAUACUGUGGGUCUUGAGGGAGGUAGGGGCGUGCGGAACUUCCGGUGGAGCGGUGAAAUGCGUAGAUAUCGGAAGGAACACCGGUGGCGAAAGCGACUUCCUGGACCAGUACCGACGUUCAGGCACGAAAGCGUGGGGAGCAAACAGG
This 253-nucleotide ribosomal RNA is filed under the name uncultured bacterium. RNAcentral describes it as "partial 16S ribosomal RNA". It matches the Rfam family "Bacterial small subunit ribosomal RNA", at positions 524 to 776 of the family's 1533-position model. The record is from RNAcentral.